GGAAAAAAGAUGCAUUACUUAUUUUUCAUUUCCAUUCCCAUUGUGAACGUCUGAUGAAUUAAUGAAAAACAAGACACAGAAGAGCAAGUCAAAUAAAGCUGAAGAAAUUCACCAAAAGGAAUGGCUCUGUCUUCAGGUUUCCAUUGCCGUGAAGAGACACCAUGACCAUGAACCAGAUGUCGACAUUCACAAGCAAGUGGACACAAGUGAGUCCUGGCAACUUCAUAGUGCAAAAUGUAGCUGUAGUCUUCUAAAAGCCUGCUUUGGAUAUUGUCCAGCAUCUUGGACGAACCACUCAGGUCAGAAGGACUGAACCUCUUGCUCAGGGUCACACAGCAAGCACCACAUCUUCAUCCUGGGCUGUUUUGGAACACACCAGGUAGCCCUGCUUCAAGGGCAUACAGCAAGCACCACAUCUUCAUCCUGGGUUGUUUCGAGCACACCAGGUAGGUCUGUUUUCAGUUUGUUUACUCAGGGAAAAGCUGUUCUGAGUCAAAAGUAGGAAUGUGCCAUUUAAGAUAAGUGAUAUCCUCAUGAAGACAGAUCUGUGGUCCUGGUGCCAGUGGGUGUACACUUCAUUAAAUAGACAUACAACAGACAGGCUGAGUGUGAAGUGGCAACUUAAUAUAACCCCAAACCAAAGAUUUCUUGACUUUUACAUGGUAAGUGUCUUUUAUUGAUUAUUUUCAGCAUACAGUGUAGAGUCCUUUUACGAAUCCUUUCAACAUUUGCAGACAUUUUUGAUUUAUGACUGUAAGGGCUGGAGGGAGCUCUUGCUACUCAUCUUUAGAAGGAGGUAUUUGGGAAAGCUUCUUAUAUUAUACUCCCAAAAGAAUUUUUCCCAUUGCCUGGAUGUUCAAUUUGACUAGCCAGCACAGAGCUGGGCAGAGGUGGAACAGUAGAGUAGGAAAUAUACAUUGCUCAUAUUCACCCAUUCACUGCUCCUUUUCCUUCCUCUAAAAUAAAAACAAACAUCAAAUCCCCAGCUGUUUUAUGGAUGGUAGUAUCCAAAGGACACAGUCUGGCCAGUGUUGUUUGUGCCUCUUUUCCUACUUUUUGUCUUUUGGCAUAUAGAGAAACAAAUGACAUUUGAAAGCAGGAAUUUAAAAAUAUUACAGAAGAAAAGUAAGAAGCCAUCUAUGUCUGUCUACCGCCAGGCAUCCUGCAUGGAAAGGACAAGCUACAAUAUUUUAAGGUUGCUGAAAAGCACCUUCUUGCAUUUGCAGCUGACUGGAAUUCUUAGGUCAGAGACCACCUGACACUCAAAAUUCUGGGAUCAUAUGCCGUGUUUUAUAUUCAUGCAUUUGGAGAAACUCCUGAUGGGAACACUUGGGAGUGUGUAAUGAUAAUUGGUUGUUUGUCCCAACUGGUGCCACUGCCCUUCUCAGUCCCAAAUGAACACACAGAUGCUAUAUUAAUUAUGAAACUGUUGGCCAGUGACUACAGGUUCUUAUUUAGCCAGCUCUAUCUUAAAUAUUAACCCAUUUCUAUUAAUCCAUGUAUUUCCUCAUAGUUUUAUUUUACCAGGGAAUGCAGGACCUGCAGCUGCUUUGCCUGCUACAUGAUGACUGAUUAGUGUCUCUGCAGAGAAGAGAGCUAUUUCCUAUUUGUCCCUGCAUAUAUCCUGAUUCUGUCCAGCUAUGUCACUUCCUUUCUGACCAAUCAGCCAAUCAGUGUUUUGUUCAUUAGCCAGUAAGAGACACACAUGCGCAAUAACAUUGCCCAUCAAACCUUUCACAAUAGAUGGUUAUACUAUAAAUAAUAUUUAUAAAUAAUAAAUAAUAUUUAUCAAUAAAUAAUUAUUAUUCAGUCUAGGAAAUGGAGAUUCUCCAGAGUAAAAAAGAUGUCAGGAAAAUGGACUACUUACUAGUUUAAGAAAGGAUGCUGGGGCCAGAGAGAUGGCACAGUGGUUAAAAACACUUACUGCUCUUACAGAAACCUGGGUUUGGAUCCUUCCUAGUAUCUUUUGUAACUCCUGCUCAAAUGCCCUCUUCUGACUUUAGUGGGCACCUUUAUUCAGGUGUUGCACAUAAACACAGAUAAGCACACACACACACACACACACACACACAUAUGCACACAUACACACAAAUCUUUAAAAUAGAAUGUGAUACCUCCUUCCGUGGAAAGAUACAUGAAGAUGAAGGAAUUAUCCGCCAUCAUGAACCCAGUGAAAGUAAGUAUUGGUUUUGGGAAAAGGACCAAUAGGAGAGACUGGGAAUCCGAGGCAAUACACUGUCUCCCGGCUUCUACCAACUGUCAUUUAAUACAUCUUUAGGUAAAUUUAAUGAUGUCUUUUUGUUUAGGUUUCCUUACAGUUUGAGCACAGCACAGAGUGCCUGCUCGUUCAAUCUUAGUUCUCAGGAUGAUAAGCAUAAACUAAGCACUGGCAUUAUCUUCAGAUGAGAAUAUUUCAGUGUUGUGAAUAUAUGCACCUUUAUUAUGAUCACUCUGCAUACAGUGGGGGUAUGAUCUCUAUGCCUUUUUACUGUUAAACCAUAUUUAUAUGCACUGAUUACACUGGUAUUGAUGUAAAAUCCAACUUUUAGUCAAAGAUCCUCUUGCUUCAAAUGCAAAAACUUCAAAGGUGAGUUUUACGGGAUUUCUGUAGUUUCCAUUGUCAGGGCAUCUGCCACAAGCCUUUUGGUAUUUGGUUAUAAACUAGAAUGUUAGAGAUGAAAAAUUACUGAAUGUUGGAUUAAAAUGGAGUAUACUUAUGGAAGUUAUUCAGAAUUUAUCAUUUUUUGCCUUUGUUCCCAAACUCAGUCAUCUUCAUUUUUUUCUUGCAUAAGUAACUAGCCUUAUUGUAUACUCAAUUAAAAAACCUAGAAAAGGUAAUGAUUAGAAGAAUACCAUUGUUGAUAUGCAUAGAAAUAUUUUCAUUUUAAAAACUCAUAUAUAUAUAUAUAUAUAUAUGAUCAUUGAUUAUUAGCGCAUCGAUAAAAACUUUGAGUCUGUUAAUAUUAGACAGAUAUUGAAAAUUCCCUCAUUUUCCAAUACAACAAUGUGAUUACUAUACUCCUUGGAAUGAUUCAGAUGGACCUAGUUGGGUGCAUAAUUGAAGAUAUCUUUGACUUGGGUCACAGAUUUUAGUAAAAUUGUUUAGUAGUUGUUCCUGUGGUUUUCUCAGCAUAGGGAAAGGGCAUUGUGUUCAUUAAGGCUAAAUAAAGAGAGGGUCAAGAAAUUGCAGAACCAUAGCACAGGUGUUUGUGAACUGAUGGAGUCUGAAAUCUAAGCUCAAUACUAUAUGCAAGAAAUUGGGGGAGACUGCUGCACUCUGGGAAAUGUGUGGGAGUUACUAGAUGGGAAUUUCCCUUGUGGUCAGAAAAUGGGUCAGAAGCUGUUGAAGAGUUGGAUGAAGGCUACUUCCAGAGAGCAGGAUGCUUUUGGAAAGUAAGUCACACACUAGUAUGAUUUUUAGUAUUGAUCAUCAUCUUGACAGCAUCUAGAGAGUCCUUUUUGCAUGUAGGUGAGGGAUUGUCCAGUUUCAGCUAUUGAGGUAAGAAGACUCACCAUUGCAGUAGAAGGAGCUGGUCCUCAGGGAGGAUGCUUCCAGGUCUUUUCCAGCUGAUUCCUUCAUGUCCUGUGUCUUAACUAUGUAGUGUGGUCAGCACCUUCAAGAUCUGAGGCUACUGUUGGCAAUGGCAAUAGUCUGCAUUGUUGUAAAUUUAUUAGACUGCUCUGAUCAAAGUUCAAAAACAGAUUGCCUAUCCUUGACCCUGGAGAUUUUAUUAAUAGAUUAUGGCUCUUAAAUGGAGCAUUAUAACCCCAAGUGGCAUAAUUUCAUUACACAGAGAGAGACAGAGACAGAGAGAGAGAGAGAGAGAGAGAGAGAGAGAGAGAGAGAGAGAGAGAGAGAGAGAGAGAGAGAGGAGAGAGGAAGGGGGAGACAGAGAGAGUAAACAAAAGAUACUAUGAUUUCCUAUGGCUUUGCCAGACAUGCAGUGUUAUUUCAAACACCAAUUCAGCCACUUAAUCUUGGAGUUAAAAUUUGUCCUUCCUGAAAGAUGUGCAUGUGCUGUGGUAAAGGUGAUACAAUACUUGUGGGAGUGACUAACCUAUCAUAGGUCCACCUAGAGACCCAUAACCUUAGAGGGGGCCCAUUCCUGACACUAUCUGGGUAGCUAUAAACCAGAGAGUGGAUAGUUAGAGAGCAGCCUUUGAUUGCCUAUAGAUCUACACCUAGAUGUGAAGCCUUGGAAGAUUCCCCAUCUGUACUGGCAUGUGUUGGAACUGUUCUGGUUUUCUUUAGGCAAUGUAUUGGUAAGAUUUCCUGAGUAUAGCUUUCCGGUCACACACAGAAGACAUUAUCUCAGAGCAUCCAUUCUGUUCCUCUGACUCUAGCCCAAGUUCAUCUGUUUUCUUCAUUUGUGGCAGUUCUGAAUUUCAGUGACAGUCUCUGUCUGCUGCAAUCAGAAGCUUCUUUGAUGAGGAAUGAGAACCACACUUACCUGUGGGUACAAGGAUAAAUAUUAAGAAUGCAACCGGGGCUCAAGAUGGUUUACAUUCUCCUCUAUGGUCCAUGACAUCACCAGCCACAGGACCCAUACCCUCCACUGGAAGAAGGGAUGGGAAGACAACAAUAUAA
Long non-coding RNA from Mesocricetus auratus (golden hamster), 4588 nucleotides. RefSeq lists it as uncharacterized. The transcript is spliced from 6 exons. NCBI's taxonomy places the organism in Eukaryota, Metazoa, Chordata, Mammalia, Rodentia, Cricetidae. The record is from RefSeq and is a predicted model, not a curated record.